RNAcentral lists this ribosomal RNA (310 nucleotides) under uncultured bacterium. Its description in RNAcentral is "partial 16S ribosomal RNA". It matches the Rfam family "Bacterial small subunit ribosomal RNA", at positions 503 to 807 of the family's 1533-position model. The record is from RNAcentral.
AAGAGACAGCAGUCGCCGCGGGAAUACGGAGGGUGCAAGCGUUAAUCGGAAUUACUGGGCGUAAAGCGCACGCAGGCGGUCUGACAAGUCAGAUGUGAAAUCCCCGGGCUUAACCUGGGAACUGCAUUUGAAACUGUCAGGCUGGAGUCUUGUAGAGGGGGGUGGAAUUCCAGGUGUAGCGGUGAAAUGCGUAGAGAUCUGGAGGAAUACCGGUGGCGAAGGCGGCCCCCUGGACAAAGACUGACGCUCAGGUGCGAAAGCGUGGGGAGCAAACAGGAUUAGAGACCCCGGUAGUCCCUGUCUCUUAUAC